GGUAGCACAUAUAUAUUCACAGCAAGCAACCAUGUCGGGUAAGCGUCUAAACGCGUUACAUAUCUUGCAUUGCCGUCUGAUGACUCGGCUGGAAAUGCAGGCAUAUCGACUACGGUGCCUAAGCCAAAAGGAUCGCAAGCAGACCAUCAAACGGAAUACCAGAGGCCCAAAGUUCAUGACCAACAUGCUCCUCCUCCUCGAGGCAGUGAUGGUCUGUCAAGCCCUGCGCUAGCGACGGCGGGAUCAAGGAAGAAGCAGCGACAGCAGGAGCCGUACAACAAACGACCGGAUAGCGGAGAAAAAGCAGGCCCAAAAGCUACGGGUAUUUCGUACCUCAAUUGGCCAUGACGGAUCUACAGAAGCUCAGCAAAGGAAUAUAUAGUGCAAGCUCCCUUGUCAAGGAUCGUGUGUGUGCAUCACGAUGUUUUACAUAACAGUAUAAGACAUCAUAUGCAUAUUAGGGAAAAAAAUGUUACUUCAUUUAUUUCGAUGAUAUUAUUAGUUUAUUGGAUAUGUUAAUGUAUGCAUUGUUGUAUACAGUAUCCGAAAUAAAUGGCCAGCCUAUAUCCUUUUUGUACACACAACCAAGUAUGUGUGUAUAUAUAUAUAAUUAAUGAAAUUUGGAAGGAAGUAUUUACUUCCCCCUUAUU
Zea mays is the source of this 650-nucleotide long non-coding RNA. RefSeq lists it as uncharacterized. The record is from RefSeq and is a predicted model, not a curated record. NCBI's taxonomy places the organism in Eukaryota, Viridiplantae, Streptophyta, Magnoliopsida, Poales, Poaceae. The transcript has 3 exons.